RNAcentral lists this ribosomal RNA (406 nucleotides) under uncultured bacterium. Its description in RNAcentral is "partial 16S ribosomal RNA". It matches the Rfam family "Bacterial small subunit ribosomal RNA", at positions 30 to 526 of the family's 1533-position model. The record is from RNAcentral.
AUUGAACGCUGGCGGCAGGCCUAACACAUGCAAGUCGAGCGAGCGGCGGACGGGUGAGUAAUAUAUCGGAAUCUGCCCAAUAGCGGGGGAUAACUACUCGAAAGAGUGGCUAAUACCGCAUACUAUCGGAUAGACCCAUAUAGGAUUAGCUAGUGGGUGGGGUAAUGGCCAACCUAGGCGACGAUCCCUAGCUGGUUUGAGAGGAUGAGCAGCCACACUGGGACUGAGACUAGGCCCAGACUCGUACGGGAGGAAGCAGUGGGGAAUUUUGCAGAAUGGGGGCAAGCCUGAUCCAGCCAACCAGCGUGUAUGAAGAAGGCCUUCGGGUUGUAAAGUACUUUUGGCAGAGAAGCGGUACCGACAGAAUAAGCACCGGCUAACUCCGUGCCAGCGGGCGCGGUAAUAC